This 458-nucleotide ribosomal RNA is filed under the name uncultured bacterium. Its description in RNAcentral is "partial 16S ribosomal RNA". It matches the Rfam family "Bacterial small subunit ribosomal RNA", at positions 338 to 795 of the family's 1533-position model. The record is from RNAcentral.
CCUACGGGUGGCAGCAGUGGGGAAUAUUGCACAAUGGGGGAAACCCUGAUGCAGCGACGCCGCGUGAGUGAAGAAGUAAUUCGUUACGUAAAGCUCUAUCAGCAGGGAAGAAACACUGACCUUACGGUCAGCAGACGGUACCUGAGUAAGAAGCCCCGGCUAACUACGUGCCAGCUGCCGCGGUAAUACGUAGGGGGCAAGCGUUAUCCGUAUUUACUGGGUGUAAAGGGAGCGUAGACGGUGCGCCAAGUCUGGCGUGAAAUGCCGGAGCUUAACUGCGGAACUGCUUUGGAAACUGGCGAACUAGAGUGCGGGAGGGGUAAGCGGAAUUCCUAGUGUAGCGGUGAAAUGCGUAGAUAUUAGGAGGAACACCGGUGGCGAAGGCGGCUUACUGGACCGUAACUGACGUUGAGGCUCGAAAGCGUGGGGAGCAAACAGGAUUAGAUACCCUAGUAGUC